This 1106-nucleotide long non-coding RNA is filed under the name Salmo salar (Atlantic salmon). RNAcentral describes it as "lncRNA (ENSSSAG00000117702.1)". The record is from RNAcentral. Lineage: Eukaryota; Metazoa; Chordata; Actinopteri; Salmoniformes; Salmonidae.
GUAAAUACAAUGUAUUACCUUUCUCCGAACGACCGAUCGUUAGUGGCAUACAGUUGAAGUCGGAGGUUUACAUACACCUCAGCCAAAUACAUUUAAACUAAGUUUUUCACAAUUCCUGACAUUUAAUCCUAGUAUAAAUUCCCUGUAUUAGGUCAGUUAGGAUCACCACUUCAUUUUAAGAAUGUGAAAUGUCAGAAUAAUAGUAGAGAGAAUGAUUUCUUUCAUCACAUUCCCAGUGGGUCAGAAUUUUACAUAACACUCAAUUAGUAUUUGGUAGCAUUGCCUUUAAAUUGUUUAACUUGGGUCAAAUGUAUCGGGUAGCCUUCCACAAGCUUCCCACAUUAAUAAGUUGGGUGAAUUUUGGCCCAUUCCUCCUGACAGAGCUGGUGUAACUGAGUCAGGUUUGUAGGCCUCCUUGCUUGCACAUGCUUUUUCAGUUCUGCCCACAAAAUGUAUAUGGGAUUGAGGUCAGGGCUUUGUUAUGGUCCCUCCAAUACCUUGACUUUGUUGUCCUUAAGCCAUUUUGCCACAACUUUGGAAGUAUGCUUGGGGUCAUUGUCCAUUUGAAAGACCCCUUUGCGACCAAGCUUUAACUUCCUGACUGAUGUCUUGAGAUGUUGCUUCAAUAUAUCCACAUAAUUUUCAUUCCAAUAACAGAAUGAAAAAAAUGUCUCAUAUUUUGAUAUUCACUGCCCUACAACUCCUGUAAUUCAGUCCAAGCAGUGGACCUAGUUACUGUGAAAAUCAGCACAAAUGUUACUGAGAACCAGGUAGAAGAACUGAAGAGAGAUAAUGAAGGCAAUAUGAGGGACAAAUGAGGAAAAAAACGUUUGUAUUGAGAACAUAGUUGUUCAUUCUACUUUUUGGUCCAAGUGUUACCUGAACAAACCAAAAAAAGUAUGUACAACUGGUUACACACAGUGCUUUUAACAAGCAAUGUUUUCAACUUACAUAUUUGACACACGUUAACAUACAUUGUGUAAGUUAAUUUAUACAGUAAUUAUUAUUCAACAUGUCCUCACCAGGGAUUUGAACAUACAACCUCUUGGUUCAUGACAUUCUGAUCUUCCUGCUACUCCACCAUGUCUGCCAUUUGUCAGUUAAUC